RNAcentral lists this long non-coding RNA (668 nucleotides) under Rattus norvegicus (Norway rat). Its description in RNAcentral is "long non-coding RNA NONRATT019590". The record is from RNAcentral. Lineage: Eukaryota; Metazoa; Chordata; Mammalia; Rodentia; Muridae.
UGUAUGCGUGUGUAGGGGCAACUGGUAAUUCCACCCCACCUGCAGUGCUGGUGGAGGUGGGAGCCCAGCCAGCGGGUGACAGUGAGCGCCCAGGGGAGGCCUCGUGCCCUCUCUGUGAGGGUGACUGAAUCUGCCAGCUGUGGGGCUUGUCCGUGCCAAGUCUGCCCUGGCUCCGUCUAGUCGUAAUCGAUGCUGGCGCCAGGCCAGGCCCCCUGCCAGCUCCGGUCACACUCGGCUAGCGCGAGAGGCCCAGCCCAUUAACUCCUAGCCAAGGCCCAUUGUCUGGGUCCCUGCCCGGUGGUUUAUUUACUCCAGGCUGGACGGGAGGUGGCGGCCAGUGGGCGGGAGAGGAUGGGGUGGCAGGGAAGGCCGGAGUGGGGCAGCCUUCAGAGCCCCAGGGCAGGGGCUGCUGUUGGGGCUUUUGUUGUGAUUUUAGAGGCUUUGAAAGAUUGCUGGUAGAAGCAGACGCACUUCCAAGCCCACCUCAGGGGUCUUCUCAGAGGUGCAGGCUCUGCAGACUAUAGACCUUACACCCCACCCACGACCUGUACACACCACUCAACCUCAAAGCCCCUUGAAGUUUUUUUUACUUGUUUUUUUAACCUCGAACAUCCUCUUUAGCUUUUUAAGUUGGCAUUUAAAUCUUUUUAUCCCAAGGUCAUCUUUUC